This is a long non-coding RNA of Bos taurus (domestic cattle), 1380 nucleotides long. Lineage: Eukaryota; Metazoa; Chordata; Mammalia; Artiodactyla; Bovidae. The record is from Ensembl.
CGUCCCUCUGACGAUCCCCCUUUAGAGAUCUCGGAAACUUGCUAAGUGUUACUGUACAAAUGUAAUGCAGCUAUCCUGGGAGUUCAGCGAGAGCAGAAAUUGUCUGGGCGCGUGAUUUCUGCUCGUUUUGUUACGUUUCGGACUACUAGGUUUGCAGCCCUAGUGUUAUGUAAGGAGAGGUUGCAGUCCUCUGAACUAGCACCAAGUGGAUUUUCUUUCUCUGCCUCCCACCUCCCAAACCCCGGACUCUCUCGCACCUGCUUCUGCUGGUUGAAAACACAAGCGAAAACGAAUGUCCAGUCCCGGGUGCUAAAUGCUCCCGCCAGCUGUUCGGAGGACUCCAGAAACGCGCAUUGGGCGAGUUUAGAAGCGCUGUGGUUGGCUGCCUCCAAGAAAGCAGUUGACGAUGUUAAAAGAUAGACUUUGUGAAUUUUGUGCAGGGGAUUUACAGCGACAAAUGCCCUCUUACCCCGUCUUUUCCCCUCAGUUUUAGCAUCCUCCAGAUAAGCAGGAUUUUGCUUAUGAUAGGUGUUUAUGGUUCCAGGAAUUGCACUUUGAUCUAGGAUUUUGGGGGCGGAGUGUCUAAGGGGUCUCUAGACGCUUGUCUGAUUUGAAUGCUUUUCAGGAUGAUUUAUGGCAAAAGGCUCCUUUCUGACGCUUCCAGAUGCCAAAGCUCUUACCUUCCAGACAGGGGUGAGCGAAAUCUGCUUCCAAUAGCCGCGCGGAUGGAAGCCCGCGCGCCUACCGCGCCCGGCUGCCGGCUGCCGGUCACCCUAAACCGACUGUGUGCACCAGCCUUCUCCCGGACCCGCAGAUAACCUUUCCCCGCCUUCCUACUAAGGAGGAGGGAGGGAUCUUCUUUUUUACGAUGACAAACCUACGGAGGGAAACCAAGUCACCCCUCCUGUAAAGUUAGUCUCUUGCAGUUAACUCUGUUUUUUGCAAUUAACCACCUGCUACUGCCCCGUUGGUGGUUUGGUGUUAAUGCGAUUUGACCCCACACGUGAAGCGGGGCGGGAAUAAGCCCUCCGUUGGGACCCCUGGUGGUUUCACCCUCCGGCCUCAGCCUUCUGGCCGCGGCUGAGAUUCGCUCUCCUGGUUCCCGCGGGGCGGAGGCCCGGGCGGCGCUCAGAAGCUGCCGGGGCGUCGCGGGGUAGGAGGCGAUGUCUUCUCGAAAGCUCCCUGCAGUCUCUGGGCCGCGAGGCGAGGCCAGGAAAAAUAACCCUCCCGACUCAAUUACUGAACUGGCAACCCACUCCAGUGUUCUUGCCUGGAGAAUCCCAGGGACAGAGGAGCCUAAUGGGCUGCCAUCUAUGGGGUCUCACCGAGUCAGACACGACUGAAGCGAUGCAGCAGCAGCAGCAGCAGCAGCAGCAGCAG